Molecule: ribosomal RNA, 253 nt
Filed under: uncultured Gemmata sp.
Lineage: Bacteria; Pseudomonadati; Planctomycetota; Planctomycetia; Gemmatales; Gemmataceae
Description: partial 16S ribosomal RNA
Rfam family: Bacterial small subunit ribosomal RNA
Source: RNAcentral
GACGAACUGCCCAAACGUUGUUCGGAAUCACUGGGCUUAAAGGGCGCGUAGGCGGCGAUAAAAGUCAGGGGUGAAAUCCGGCAGCUCAACUGUCGAAGUGCCUUUGAUACUUUAUCGCUCGAGGGAGGUAGGGGUGUGUGGAACUUCUGGUGGAGCGGUGAAAUGCGUUGAUAUCAGAAGGAACGCCGGUGGCGAAAGCGACGCACUGGACCUCUUCUGACGCUGAGGCGCGAAAGCUAGGGGAGCAAACGGG